ACCCUUUGUAAAAAGACACCAUAUUGGAUUAGGGGCCCACUCUAUCCCAAUAUUACACCUGCAAUGAUUCCAUAUCCAAAACACAUCACAAUCUGUGGUUGUGGGGGAUAGGAUCCGAACGACUGAAUUCUGGAGGGGAUAAACUGUAUAACAGGGUCUAUAGGGAGCUAAAUAAUGUUCCUCCAAAGUUCACGUCUACCCCAAAUCUCAGAAUCUGGACUUCGGUGGAAAUAGUGUUUUUACAGAAAUCAUUCAUUAAGUGCUUAAUUGAUGACAGUAACUUUCUGUUCUUUAGGUCCCCAUUGUGCGAUGCUUUGUUCCAGCAGCUAACAAGGGCCUGCAUUUGAGAUGAGAGAAGUCCAACACAGUUUUUGUCAGAGGUCCAGGGAGCAAGAUCUAGUCCUAGAGAAAGGGGGCAUGGGAACCAGAUUCCACAGUCAGGGUUCACAGAUUGAGUAUCAGACCCAAGAGGAGAACAGAGUGACUAAUGGUUAACCGUGUGGCUUUGGCCAUUAGAGUUCUGGGUUCAUAUCCCAACUCUAUUACAAAGCGGGUGAACCUGAGAAAAUGAUUGAAGCAUUCAGGGAGUUUGAUUCCAUGUCAGGUGAGGAUAACAGCCUCUGCCUCCUACGACCAAAGUGAGGAAUCAGAGAUAAUGUGUUAAAAGUGCUUAGCAAGCAUGUGAUCAAAGUAACUGGGAGAGACAUGGAAAUAGGAAGCUUCCUAAGGUAGACUGGCCAUGGUGGAGGUGUUUAUGUAGGGCUUGCAGAGUGAUGCCCACACGGGCCUACUAGGCUGGGUCACUCCUGCACCACAGGCAGAAGGACCCUGGGCUCCCUCCAGGUCCCAGUAGGGUGGGGAAGGAGCUCUUUAUACCAACAAGGGCAUUAGGCUCUUCUAGCUGUGUGAAGUGUCUGGGUGUGGGCCAAAUCUUCAGGAGGCUGCCAUAUUUUCUGCUUCUGGGGAGGGCAGGAGAGGUGCCAAUGUUCUCCCUCCUGAGCGCUCCACCCUCGACCAACCAACAAAAGGGUAAACAAUCCUAACCCUCGCAAAACCUAAAACGAUCCUUUUGCCAAGUUAAUAGUCCCUAUUCUCUUUGUUUGUCUGCAUUCUAAACUCCCGGGACACUGUUUCCAUGCACAUUGUUUAACAGACAGACGCAGCCUCCAUAGCAAUGACUGGCCAGGGGUUGAGGCCCUUUGUCAGAGAGCACUCUGUCUUGGGCGGGAUGGGGUCUGAUUUCAUCAUCUCUCCUGAGCCCUGGGAUAGUCCUCUGAUUUCCUAGGAAGUUUCUUUUAAUAGGAAAGGUGCUAAUGCCUCUAUUUUACUUCAUUACCUCUUACCGCCUGCCCUUUUUGGCUUCUUAUUUCCCUGAAAUUUUCUGGAACACUACUUCCCUCCCACCCCACUAAGACUUCAGGAAAUAUAGGAAAUUAGUGGAGAAGCCUUGGCCGCCACCACGGACAGGCUCUUCAAGGCAAGAUGGCAAGAGGUGUCAUGAGGCUACUCACUCACUCCUGGAAAAAAUGAUUCCGAAUGAGACACUCCUCCCAGGGAAGUCAAGCGGCUCUCUCAAGGGCCCUGAAGUCAGAGUCAAAACAGCUUCACCCCGAUCCGCUGUGUGCCUGUAGGCCUGCCAUUCUAAACCAGGGGCACUGACAGAAAAUGAAAAGAAUUAGCAUUCCAGGUUGGCAGCUUAGGCAGAAGUGAGUCUCUGCCUUUCCAGCAGAACAAUAAAGCCCAGGUGCUGGAUGCACCUGAGACCCACCGGUUUCAA
Molecule: long non-coding RNA, 1777 nt
Organism: Neofelis nebulosa (Clouded leopard)
Lineage: Eukaryota; Metazoa; Chordata; Mammalia; Carnivora; Felidae
Exons: 2
Source: RefSeq, a predicted model, not a curated record